Pygoscelis adeliae (Adelie penguin) is the source of this 1017-nucleotide long non-coding RNA. RefSeq lists it as uncharacterized. NCBI's taxonomy places the organism in Eukaryota, Metazoa, Chordata, Aves, Sphenisciformes, Spheniscidae. The record is from RefSeq and is a predicted model, not a curated record. The transcript is spliced from 3 exons.
CAUGAGGGCACAGGGCAACGUCUAUCAUCUUAAGUGUUUUACAUGCUCUACCUGCCGGAAUCGCCUGGUCCCCGGAGAUCGGUUUCACUACAUCAAUGGCAGUUUAUUUUGUGAACAUGAUAGACCUACAGCUCUCAUCAAUGGCCAUUUGAAUUCACUUCAGAGUAAUCCACUACUGCCAGACCAGAAGGUCUGCUAAAAGGUCAGAGUAAUGCAGAAUGCGUGCCUUCAUCUCAAAUUUUGUUCAUCACAGAUGGAUCCCAUGUCUCCAAGUAGACAAGUCACCUUUGUAGCUAGCAUCAAUGCCAGCUCCAUACCAUUGCACCUUCUUUAUUCUUGAUUGCCCUUCCCACAUUUAUUGGUGUAUUAAAAUGACUGAAUAUGAACAUUAAGGACUCCAUGAACCUGGGCUAAUGGGAGACUGUAGAGAAAAUGAAAAAAGAUCCACCGGAGGACAUCUUGGGGGGGGGCGUGUGGGGAAGAUGACUAAUGAAGCUAAUUAAAAGAAGCAUUGAAAUCUGCUUUCUACCCUCAUUAACAAUUAGCAGGGCACUGGCCAGUUUGUACCCUGUGUUUUACCUUAACAACAUUCUAUUUGCUCUUUGUAUAUUUAAGUGUUGUAAGGAAAUGUGUUUCAAUCAAACUGAACAUGAGAUAAAGAUGUGGCUUUUGUGAUAUUCUAUCACAAACACUUUUAUUGUAUCUCUGUAAAAUACAAUGUAUGUAUGCAUGUAAGUGUUUUUGUCCUAAUGUUGCUACUUCCCAUGGCAAAAAAAAAAAAGAAAAAAAGAAAAAAAAAGUCAGGCUCAUAGCAGCUACUGUGUAGAAAUUUUCACCUACUUCUAAUUUGCUGAAUGAAGAAAAAUCUUUUAUUUGUGAUAUUUUCAGAGACAUUUGCUCUAGUAUGGUGUAUUUAAAUAAUAAAAAAGUAAAACAAACAACACUGAAUUGAGUAUGGGUUUUAGAAGCUUUGCUUUUUUUUUUUUUUAAACUACAUUAAAAACAUUAUUCUGAAAC